GACGGCCGGGCGGCCGCACCGCCAAUCCGGGAAACCGGGGCGGUGAGGAAAGUCCGGGCUCCACGGAGGCAGGGCGCCGGGUAACACCCGGCAGGAGCGAUCCUCGGGAUAGCGCCACAGAGAGCAGACCGCCGCAGGCUUCGGCCCGCGGUAAGGGUGAAAGGGUGCGGUAAGAGCGCACCGGGCUCCCAGCAAUGGGGGCCGCAUGGCAAGCCCCGCCUGGAGCAAGACCGAAUAGGGACGGCGCGCCGGUGUUCGCACCGGCAGGCGGGCCUCCGCGCCGCCGUCCGGGUGGGUCGCGUGAGGCGCGCAGCAAUGCGCGUCCCAGAGGAAUGGCCGUCCUCGACAGAACCCGGCUUACAGGCCGUCUG
This 371-nucleotide RNase P RNA is filed under the name uncultured Euryhalocaulis sp. RNAcentral's name for it is "Bacterial RNase P class A". It matches the Rfam family "Bacterial RNase P class A". Rfam says of the family: Ribonuclease P (RNase P) is a ubiquitous endoribonuclease, found in archaea, bacteria and eukarya as well as chloroplasts and mitochondria. Its best characterised activity is the generation of mature 5'-ends of tRNAs by cleaving the 5'-leader elements of precursor-tRNAs. Lineage: Bacteria; Pseudomonadati; Pseudomonadota; Alphaproteobacteria; Maricaulales; Maricaulaceae. The record is from RNAcentral.